This 617-nucleotide ribosomal RNA is filed under the name Filobasidium magnum. Its description in RNAcentral is "eukaryotic LSU rRNA". It matches the Rfam family "Eukaryotic large subunit ribosomal RNA", at positions 50 to 652 of the family's 3401-position model. Lineage: Eukaryota; Fungi; Basidiomycota; Tremellomycetes; Filobasidiales; Filobasidiaceae. The record is from RNAcentral.
CCGGAGGAAAAGAAACUAACAAGGAUUCCCCUAGUAACAGGCGAGUGAAGCGGGAAGAGCUCAAAUUUGAAAUCUGGUGGCCUCAGGUCAUCCGAGUUGUAAUCUAUAGAAGUGUUUUCCGUGCUGGCUCAUGUACAAGUCCCUUGGAACAGGGCGUCAUAGAGGGUGAGAAUCCCGUCCUUGACAUGAACUACCAGUGCUCUGUGAUACAUUUUCAACGAGUCGAGUUGUUUGGGAAUGCAGCUCAAAAUGGGUGGUAAAUUCCAUCUAAAGCUAAAUAUUGGCGAGAGACCGAUAGCGAACAAGUACCGUGAGGGAAAGAUGAAAAGCACUUUGGAAAGAGAGUUAAACAGUAUGUGAAAUUGUUGAAAGGGAAACGAUUGAAGUCAGUCGUGCUCUUUGGAUUCAGCCGGUUCUGCCGGUGUACUUCCUUUGAGUGGGGUCAACAUCAGUUUUGAUCGCUGGAUAAAGGCUGGAGGAACGUAGUACCCUCGGGUAAACUUAUAGCCUCCUGUCACAUACAGUGGUUGGGACUGAGGAACGCAGCACGCCUUUAUGGCCGGGAUUCGUCCACGUACGUGCUUAGGAUGUUGACAUAAUGGCUUUAAACGACCCGC